RNAcentral lists this long non-coding RNA (1667 nucleotides) under Homo sapiens (human). Its description in RNAcentral is "HSALNT0343760". Lineage: Eukaryota; Metazoa; Chordata; Mammalia; Primates; Hominidae. The record is from RNAcentral.
UCUCAAAAAAAAAAAAAAUAAAAACCAUAAUCAUUAAAUUAUAUUUAAAAAGAAAAGAAAAAAGCUAUACACACAGUAGAUGAUUGAUGGACAAGAGGUUUAUUGAUUGAUUGAUCAUCUGGAGAGCUGGUGUGGGGAGAAGAAUCACAUGUCUGUGCUUAGACAAGUUUGGAUGAGGUAGAGCAAGGAAGGAACUUCUCUUAAGGGCAGGGAAAAGUCUACAGCCUCACCCUGACACAGCCUUGGCCAAGCCUCCCCUACAUCCCUCCCAUCCAUAGACCAAAGCCCUGCAGGCUCAGAGCCCACCGAGCCAUCUUAGAGAGGCUCUAAGUCAGGGCUUACAGAUGUCAGGGCUCCCCUUCUAGUCUCUUGCUGGCACCUGAUGCCUUUCCUCCACAGAAGGCCACCUCCCCCCUGCCUCUCUCAUUCCAUCUCUAACUCCAUCCUCAGCCCAUUCUCCCACCUAGACACAGCUGGGUGCCAGUUCCUUGCAGGCCCUCCUGGCUGCCUCUCUCUGAGGAAACAAAACCAAGCCAAGCAUCCCACCCAAACCUCAAAACCAGGCUUGGUUUGUUAUUGGUCCCAAUCAGAUGCAAUCCAGGAGGUGUGGGAUAGGAGUGGGAGGGGUAGAGGGGGAGCAGAGGCCACCCAGGAGUGUGCAGAGCCCAGACUGAAGCCCUAAGGCUCUUUCAUCCUCCCUGGCUGCGAAGGGCUGGUCUUUGGCAGAGAUGCCUCUGUGCCCUCUGUCUUCCGGGGACGCUCUCACACCUACCGCUUUGGCUGGGACUAUAAGAUGGGCAGCUGUUGAGGCCCACUAGGGGUGCUGUGGGGCAGAUGGUCUUUGUUUAUUACCAUGGAUGGCUGACCUUUGCUGGCUUACCACGGGGAAUCCGGGAGAAUCUCUGCAUUGGCAGACAGCAUCUCAACAUAUCAUUUUGAGAUAAGAAUCAUUUCUGUUUGAUUUCAUGACCCUAAUUUAUUUUGGACUGUCUUUUUUUCACACAAAGAAUUAAAGUGUCUGUAACUUCAUAAAGACUGGCGUGUUUAUGACAAAAAGCAAAGAAUAAAGGUGUGAACUUUCCAGGUCAUUCAUCACUAGGCAAAGUCUCAAAUAUGAAGCCUGCCACACCAAGUACCCUCUACACUUACAUUCUUUCUGUUCCUUUUGGACGAUGUAUUUGAACAGUAAAAAAAAGGAACAAGAAUGUGGUGAUUUGGAUACUUUUUAGAGGCAUGGCUUUCUGUGUUUAAGCUGUUGUAGCUCUUUGUGGUCACUGUGAUUUCAGAAUACAGGACAGUCAGGCCAGUGAAUCCAACUCUUCUGUGUGGACUUCUGUGCACAGGAUGAAAGGCACCUACCUCUUGCUUCUGAGAGACUUCCCUGCCUACUUUCUGGCCCAACGAGGCAAUCUCUUCAGAGUCAGGAGAAGGAGUGAGGCUGAUCUUGAACUCCUAGUUUUGAGAGAUCUUCCUGCUCUGUCUGGCCUCCCAAUGUUCUAGGAUUACAGGUGUGUGAGCCAUGGUGCACAGCCGCCCAGGUGUUUUUGGUGGAGGUGGCUCAAGUCCCCACCAGAGACACACUGGUUUAGAGCCUGCUCAGGAGGAACAAAGACGUUGAAGCUGCAGCAGAGACAGAGUCUUGCUAUAUUGCCCCGGCUGGUCUGAAA